This 78-nucleotide small nucleolar RNA is filed under the name Marmota monax (woodchuck). Lineage: Eukaryota; Metazoa; Chordata; Mammalia; Rodentia; Sciuridae. The record is from RNAcentral.
AGCAUAUGAGUACACCUCUAAUGCUACAGAUGCCCAUCUGUGCAGUGGGGAAGCCAACCUUGUAGAGCUGAGAAUAAA